Molecule: ribosomal RNA, 372 nt
Filed under: uncultured organism
Description: bacterial SSU rRNA
Rfam family: Bacterial small subunit ribosomal RNA
Source: RNAcentral
CGUAGGUGACGAGCGUUAUCCGGAUUUACUGGGCGUAAAGCGUGUGCAGGUUGGUUCACAAGUGGUGUAUGAAAGCUGUCGGCUUAACCGGGAGAGGGUAUGCCAGACUGUGAGCCUAGAGGCAGCCAGAGGGACAUGGAAUUCCGGGUGUAGUGGUGAAAUGCGUAGAGAUCCGGAGGAACCCCAGAGGCGAAGGCGGUGUCCUGGGGCUGACCUGACACUCAGACACGAAAGCAUGGGGAGCGAACGGGAUUAGAAACCCCGGUAGUCCAUGCCGUAAACGAUGCGGACUAGGCGUCGGGGGACUCAACCCCCUCGGUGCCGGAGCUAACGCGGUAAGUCCGCCGCCUGGGGAGUACGGCCGCAAGGCUA